UUACUGGGCGUAAAGAGUGCGCAGGCGGUUUUGCAAGACCGAUGUGAAAUCCCCGGGCUUAACCUGGGAACUGCAUUGGUGACUGCAAGGCUAGAGUGUGUCAGAGGGAGGUGGAAUUCCGCAUGUAGCAGUGAAAUGCGUAGAUAUGCGGAGGAACACCGAUGGCGAAGGCAGCCUCCUGGGAUAACACUGACGCUCAUGCACGAAAGCGUGGGGAGCAAACAGGAUUAGAUACCCUGGUAGUCCACGCCCUAAACGAUGUAUACUAGUUGUCGGGGAUUAAUUUCCUUGGUAACGCAGCUAACGCGUGAAGUAGACCGCCUGGGGAGUACGGUCGCAAGAUUAAAACUCAAAGGAAUUGACGGGGACCCGCACAAGCGGUGGAUGAUGUGGAUUAAUUCGAUGCAACGCGAAAAACCUUACCUACGCUUGACAUGUCCGGAACCCUGAAGAGAUUUGGGGGUGCUCGAAAGAGAGCCGGAACACAGGUGCUGCAUGGCUGUCGUCAGCUCGUGUCGUGAGAAG
Molecule: ribosomal RNA, 525 nt
Filed under: uncultured bacterium
Lineage: Bacteria
Description: bacterial SSU rRNA
Rfam family: Bacterial small subunit ribosomal RNA
Source: RNAcentral